UGGGGAAAUAUUGGACAAUGGGCGCAAGCCUGAUCCAGCUAUGCCGCGUGGAUGAAGAAGGCCUUCGGGUUGUAAAGCUCCUUUCCUUGGUGAAGAUAACGACGGUACACCUAAGAGGAAGCCCCGGCUAAUUUCGUGC
Molecule: ribosomal RNA, 139 nt
Filed under: uncultured bacterium
Lineage: Bacteria
Description: partial 16S ribosomal RNA
Rfam family: Bacterial small subunit ribosomal RNA
Source: RNAcentral